UAAACAAAAGAUUGUGAAGCCUG
Molecule: non-coding RNA, 23 nt
Filed under: Cricetulus griseus (Chinese hamster)
Lineage: Eukaryota; Metazoa; Chordata; Mammalia; Rodentia; Cricetidae
Also listed under: 1 other name
Source: RNAcentral